This 2947-nucleotide ribosomal RNA is filed under the name Aspergillus coremiiformis. RNAcentral describes it as "large subunit ribosomal RNA". It matches the Rfam family "Bacterial large subunit ribosomal RNA". The record is from RNAcentral. Lineage: Eukaryota; Fungi; Ascomycota; Eurotiomycetes; Eurotiales; Aspergillaceae.
AACGAAGUGAAUUGAAAUAUCUUAGUAACUUUAGGAAAAAAAAUCAAACGAGAUUGUUAUUUGGUGCAAAUUAAAUAACAAGAGCCUAUUAACAAAACUUGUUAAAGUAAAAUGGAUUAAAAUCUGUUUGAAUAUAGGGGAACCUUCCUCUAAGGCUAAAUAUGAUAUAUAAGCGAUAGUGAAAAGUACCGUGAGGUAAUAAUUUGAAAUAGUAGUUUUAUAAGCAGCUCGAGUGAAAAUUUAAAUAAAUAAUAAGAGUGUACCUUUUGCAUAAUGGGUCAGCAAGUUAAUUUUAGAUGCAAGCUAUUUUGUGCGUUACACAUGAUACUAGCACAUGUAACUAGCUUAGAUAAACCAAUUAUGAGAAAAUGAAUAAGUAUCUAGAAUUAGACCCGAAGGCUAGUGAUCUUACCAUGGUCAGGGUUAUAAAAGCCCGAACGGGUUAUCGUUGUAUAGAUAUCCGAAGAAUUGUGGUAAGUUAGUGAAAGACAAAACUGACUAGUAUAGCUGGUUUUCCGCGAAACCUAUAUGAGUAGGUAAUUUAACUAACAUCUUAGCAGGUACAGAACUGUGAUCUCGGACAAUAUCUUUUAUAUUUUGAUUUUUGUUAACAUCGGGGGGUUGUAGUGACUUUACCGGAGAGUAUUUGCACUCGGAAUGGCAAAGAUGAAUGUUGAAUAAUCAGACAUAGUGCGAUAAGGUUGUAUGUCUAAAGGGAAACAGCCCAGAACAAGAGUUAAGGUUCCAAAAUUAUUGUUGAGUGAAAUUAAGGAUGUUUUUUUUAAAAACAAUCAGGAAAUAGGCUUAGAAGCGGCCAUUUUUUGAAGACCUCGUAACAGAGCACUGAUUAAAAAUUUUAGAAAAAAACACCAAAAAUUUAACGGAUCUAAACAAUAUACCGAAACCUUGUACACAUAUUUAUAAUAAUAUUAUUGUAUAUGUGGGGUAGCGGAACAUUGGAUAAUAUAUUUUUAUAUAUUUCUUCUAGGAAAUAAUAAAUGAUUGAGCCCUAUGACAUUAGGGCUCACCAAAAAAUCAAAUAAAAUCCAAGAGAGAAUGCUGACAUGAGUAACGAAAAAGGAAUAUAACCUCGCCUUAAGCUUAUGGUAUUAUAAUUAAUUUUCGGUAUCUAAAUAUAUUAAUCAAAAGGUAAUUUUGAUGAUAUUUAUAUAUUAAUACUUAUAAGUAAAAAAAAAACAAAACCUUUAAAAAGUUUUAAAGGUUCUGGAAAAAUUUUUUUAUUUAAAAAAAUUUUUAAGAUGAAGUAUAUUAAAGAAAAUAUUGUGUUUUUUACAAUAUAGGUAUGUUGUACCUACAUCUCUAAAGAUGAUAUGUAGAACAUAUACUCUAUAUAAUUAUUGUUAUAAGUUUUCAAGAUUAUAUAGUUUUAAUUUUAGAUAUUUAUAUUAUUAUAUUGUUUAUAGUAAUAGUAAGGUUUAUAUAUACCGUACCUAGAUACUAUCACAAGUAAGCAAGUAGAGAAUACAAAGGCGUUUGAGUGAACAAUCAUUAAGGAACUCGGCAAAUUGACUACCGUAACUUCGGGAUAAGGAGGGCCAUUCUGAUUAGUUUAACAUAUCUUAUGAUAUGAUUUAAUUAAACUAAACAUAAGAGGAAACAUGAAAUAAUGUUGUACGACUGUUUAAUAAAAACACAGCACUCUGCAAAGAUAAAAUAUCAAAGUAUUGAGUGUGAUGUCUGCCCAAUGUCGGCUGGAUAACGGAUUUACCUUUGUAUUUAACUGAGGUUUUGAAGGAUACCCCGAUUAAUGGCGGCCUUACCUAUGAGGGUCCUAAGGUAGCUAAAUACCUUGGCCGUUAAAUGCGGUCCUGCAUGAAUGAUUUAACGAUACAACAGCUGUCUCGAUGAUUGUCUCAGUGAAAUUGGAAUAGCAGUGCAGAUACUGUUUACCUCUAGAUAGACGAGAAGACCCUAUGCAGCUUUACUGUUACUAAUUGCAAGAGUGAAAAUUUAGGAUGAUUUCGAGUGUAUAAGGUAGUUGUUAGAUAAUAAUGAAACACCUUUAUUUGUUUCCUACUAUAUGCUCUUGAGGAUUGGGAGGCAGUUUAUGCGGGGCACAGAUCCCACAAAAAGUACCUGGGUAUAUCCAAAGUUCAUUUUGUAAAUUUGUAAAUUUCUUUACAAAUAUUUUAAUUUGUUAUAAUUAUAUUUAUAAUUAUACAGUUAUUGUUAGAUUAAGUUCAAUAUUUAUUUUUAAUUUAAGUAAGAUUUUAACUAUAUGGUGAAUAGAUGUAUUUUAAACUUUACUCGGAGUGAUCGGGAUAUUUAAAAGUUUUUUCUCAUAUUAAUAUUGUAUAUAAUCUUUAUUGAUAUGAUAAUUAAUUAUACUUUAAAAGUUUAAUGGCUAAAUCUUGCUUUACUGUUUGACCUACAAGUCUAUCAGUCGCGUAAGCGGGGCAUAUGAUCACAAGAUGCAUAAAGGAAAGGUCUUGGAUUAUAGAAAAAGUUACGCUAGGGAUAACAGGCUAAUUUGCGCAAGAGAGUACAAAUUGAGUGCGCGGUUUGGCACCUCGAUGUCGGCUUAGCUCAUCCACAUGAAUGCAAAAAUCAUGAAGGGUUCGACUGUUCGUCGAUUAAAGAGCUACAUGAGCUGGGUUUAAUACGUCGUGAGACAGUAUGGUUUCUAUCUUCUAGAGGGAAUUAAAGUAGAAUAAAGAUAGCCCCUUCGUACGAAAGGAGUUGGGUAUAUUGACCUAUGGUUUACCUGUUGUUUAUGCUAUAUAAACAUUAUAAUAUUUUAUAAACCUAUGGUUUAUAUGUUGUUGUUAAUACUGUAUAUUUUAAUGAAUAUAUCAUAUUACUUAUACUUAAGUAAAUUGUUCACAUAGGCAUGGCAGGAAGGCUACGUCAGUUAAAGAUAAGUGCUGAAAGCAUUUAAGCGCGAAGCUUACUUUAGGAUACUUUAAAACGUAGUAGAACACUACGA